Molecule: ribosomal RNA, 492 nt
Filed under: uncultured bacterium
Lineage: Bacteria
Description: partial 16S ribosomal RNA
Rfam family: Bacterial small subunit ribosomal RNA
Source: RNAcentral
AGUGAAUGCUGGCGGUAGGCCUAACACAUGCAAGUCGAACGGCAGCACAGCAAGAGCUUGCUCUUACGGGUGGCGAGUGGCGGACGGGUGAGGAAUACAUCGGAAUCUACUUUUUCGUGGGGGAUAACGUAGGGAAACUUACGCUAAUACCGCAUACGACCUACGGGUGAAAGCAGGGGAUCUUCGGACCUUGCGCGAUUGAAUGAGCCGAUGUCGGAUUAGCUAGUUGGCGGGGUAAAGGCCCACCAAGGCGACGAUCCGUAGCUGGUCUGAGAGGAUGAUCAGCCACACUGGAACUGAGACACGGUCCAGACUCCUACGGGAGGCAGCAGUGGGGAAUAUUGGACAAUGGGCGCAAGCCUGAUCCAGCCAUACCGCGUGGGUGAAGAAGGCCUUCGGGUUGUAAAGCCCUUUUGUUGGGAAAGAAAAGCAGCAGGUUAAUACCCCGCUGUUCUGACGGUACCCAAAGAAUAAGCACCGGCUAACUUCGUG